RNAcentral lists this small RNA (122 nucleotides) under Sinorhizobium saheli. Its description in RNAcentral is "Alphaproteobacterial ar14". It matches the Rfam family "Alphaproteobacterial ar14". Rfam says of the family: Smr14C2 was renamed NfeR1 (Nodule Formation Efficiency RNA) highly expressed in salt stress and during the symbiotic interaction on legume roots. The record is from Rfam by way of RNAcentral. Lineage: Bacteria; Pseudomonadati; Pseudomonadota; Alphaproteobacteria; Hyphomicrobiales; Rhizobiaceae.
CCUUGUCGACGCGCUGUACCUCCUCCCACGGCGCCCGACAUGAGAUCGGUUCCACUCCUCCUCCCAGAACCGAUCGAGUUCAAAGACCCCGACGCCACCUCCUCCCGGCUCGGGGUCUUUUC